RNAcentral lists this long non-coding RNA (4132 nucleotides) under Salvia miltiorrhiza (redroot sage). Its description in RNAcentral is "long non-coding RNA (SMIL_LNC010597)". The record is from RNAcentral. Lineage: Eukaryota; Viridiplantae; Streptophyta; Magnoliopsida; Lamiales; Lamiaceae.
AAAAUGGGGAGGGAAAGAUCACGGGUGAUCACUGAUGAUUGAAGGGUUUGGAAUUCACGGGAAAGGAAGAGCCAAUGUUACCGUUGAUCAAAAUCUACGGCUGCAAUUUGACGCUGAGAAAUGGAGGAUGUGAUCGAUUUGGAGGUAUUUAUAGGAAUUCAUAAAACCCCUCGCCUCUGCUCAUAAUCCAUUUCAGUAUAGUUUUCAUCUUAUAUUUAUACAUGAAGAUCUGGAUGUUUUGUAUAUAUAAAUACAGAACCGAUCACCUACCCACCGUGGGCAAGCAAAACGUGUCCACCAUUGAUGUGACAAUUUUAAUUAGGAAAGAUAAAUAAUAAAUCUUAUUCUAAUUAAAAUUAUUUUACUAUAAUUACAAUUGUCACAUCAUGGUGGGCACGUUAUGCAUGCCCACGGUGGAUAGCUGAUCGGUCCUGUAAAUAAUAGUGUAAGAGUUAGUAAAAAGUAUACUUUAUUAAAAAGAUCCUAAAAUGUGUAUAUAAAGUUGAAUCAAUUUAAAUUUUGUAAAGUGGUGUUUAUUUGACAUUAUAAUAUACUGGUGCAUAAUUUAUUACUCGUGGCUGGCGCGAGCAUUGAGAAUUUCAGAUUAUAGUAUUCUGUUUCAGAUAGAUUAAUUUUUUGGAUGGCUUCAAGGUAUAUAGGACGAAAUAGAUGUAUUUAAAAUUUUAGGGGGUUUGAUAGAGAAAAAUAAUAAACCUAUUUUUUUAGUUUAUUUUAAUGAAUUGAAAUUUUAGGAUACUCUAAGAUUUUUGAUUAUUUCUAUUAUUUAAAUUAAUUAAUUUUGCUUAAUUUUUAUUUCAUUGAAAGGUUGGAAUUGAAAAAAAUCAUUUUCUUAAAGAUAAAAAUAUUUAAUCAUACAUUUUAUCAAUUAUGCAAAGUAAAUAUCCUCAUACUAUUCCUUAAUUUAGAAAAUUGGGCAUGAAAAAUGAAUUUUUUUUUUUUGGAGGGUGGAACGAAGUAUUCCCUGUGUUCUAUGUAUUUACUUUUUAUUAACAUAGAAUAUAUAUGGUUGCAUUCAAUGACAACCACUCCCUUAGAUAAAGAAUGAAGACCAAAUCAGGGCCAUUCAUCGAAAGUAAAUCAACGAGCAGGAUUAAAUCAUGUAUUUAAUUUUUAAGCAAUUAAAUAUUGUUGAUUAAACAUUCUUUUCGUGCAAAAGGUCAAAUGAGUAAACACAUUUUUAUUGUUUGAUCUGUUUAUGAUAUCUCGCAAUUCUUCAUCUCGUUCUUUGGACUUUUUUAUUUUUUAGAAUUAGAAGAAUUUUAUGUUUUUAACUAAAAUUUUCAUCAGCGAUUCCUUUUACGAUAUAUUGCUGAAAUUGCUAAUUGUCGUUCUAGCAAAACACCGCCGCCGAGGGAUUUUUUCUUGGUUUCAAUAUCGCGAUUGUCGAAGUCCGUAGAAGACGACGAAUUGGAUUGCAUCUGAAUUUAUCUCUGCUGGCGACGAACACCCAUCUUAUAUGGUAAAGCUCAUUUCGUUUAAUACAUGACCACCCCCUUUCGUUUAAUACAUGAAGAACCCAUUUUUCGGGGUUCAAUAUCGAGGUUGUCGAAACCAGCAAAAGUCGACGAAUUGUAACCCUGCUCAAUUUAUCUUCGCUUUCAAUAAGCACCAACCUUGUAUGGUUAUGCUCCUUGCGUUUGUUAAAUGAAUAUCAUUUUUUCAUAGUUUACAUUAUCUAAUAUAUUUUGUGAACUGGAUGAACUGCNUUGCUUUGAUGAACAAAAAAAAAUUAAAGAAAUCAAAGAUCCGACCUAUUUUUCCAUAUUUAUCAGAGGUCGUAUGGAACAUCCCAUGUGAUGCAUCAAUUCAGCAUGUCAAAUUGUGUAUCAAAGAACUGUAUAAGGUCCACUGUACAGAUAUGUGUACAAAUUGCAGUUACUUGACAGGCUAAAAAUAUGGAGUACCAUUUAUGUACAAUAUUAAUAAGUAUCAACAAAAAAUAAGAGCUUUGGUAAUACUCCCUCCUUCCAUCAAAAAUAGUCCUAUAAUUUUCAAAAAUAAAAAGGGACUAAUUUUUGUGAACAUUCCAAAAUAGUAAAAAAUGACUACUUUUUGUGGACGGAUGAGUAAAAUUUAGAUAUAACCGAACAUAAACAUAUAUCUCAUUUAAAUUAUGACAAAUAAAAAGAUGCUUCCGCCCAAGUUCACUUGUGCAUUAGAUAACACCUACUACUACUAUUUAUAAGAGAUGGCUUCCUUGUUCUCCACGAUGUCCCAAUCGUAUCAUUUACUAUAACAAAAGAAUUAAUAGUGUUUUAUAUUCCUAACUUUUAACAUUUUUUACAAAAUAUUUCAAAUUUUCGUAAUUACUGUAACUUUUAACGUAAUCCAUAAAAUAUCUCACGAUUCAAACCCUCAAUAUAUAUAUAUAUUUUAUAAAUUUAUAAGUAAAAUAUAGAUAUUUUAAAGACGGUACCACGAUAUACUCGAAUCCAAUACGUCUAACCUUGGACAUUAACUACCUAUAGCUAAGCCAACACACACUCAACCCCUAAUAUUGUAUUGUCAUUUUGUAUAGCGGGAUAUUUAUGAAAAAUACUGAAAGUUGGAGAAUUUUUUAAGAGAAAUGAAAUUAGAAUAUUUAUAGAAAUGCUCAAAUUGAGGACAUGAAUAUUAAAUAUGACUUAUAUUAGCAAAUAAAUUAUAUAUAUAUAACUAAACUGAAGAUGUGUAAUGAUUACGUACAAUUUAAAUACGUUUAGAACUAAAACCUUUGACUUAAUAGAAAAAAAAAAUCUGUUAUAAUCUACCCAUUCUGAAAAAUAUGUGUUUUAUCUAUCCAAAUCUUUCCCACGCGACAGUGCACUAAUCAUAGAAUCCUCCAGCUGUACUCAUCCAAUAUUAUCUAAAGAUAAAAAACAUUAAGAUCGAAAAUGGCUAAAAAUUAGUCUAUUUUCAACGGCAGAAAAUUGUGAAGGGUCAGACAAGUAGUAAUUGGCUCAUUUAAACCGGCUCAAACAAACAAAGAGAAUCCCGCCACGUGUCUGCCAGCAUCAGUGGCGGGAAUGACGGCCUCCCACUCUCCCUCCCCAAAAGCCUUUGAGAAAUUAUUCGUAAACCCCACUACUUUCGUCAAAUACCAAAUCUAAACCCCAAUAUUUUCAACUCGACUCUAUAAAACCCUAAAACGCUUCACCGCAUUCCUCCCCUCCCAUCGUCUCGCAUAAAACAGUUGGACCUAUUCAUCUUCCAUACAUAAUCAUCACGUAUGUAUACACAAACAUAUUAGGUGUAAUUUGCACGUAAUAUCCACACAGAGACAACGAGAGAAUGAACUCCAUGUCUAGAGCAUUGACGCUCGUGGACGAGUAAAUCGCAGGACGCGUUUCGAUGCUAAACAAUAAAUAAAUUACCUGUUGUCGGGGUGGAUGAACAAGCCUUGAGAUAGGUCUUUCAAUCCAUUGAUGACGCUGUACCUGCUGAACCUCCGCCGAGUCAAGUCCAUCUCCAACUCGUUCUCGACCAGAGUGAGUCGGCUGUCGCGUGACGACUGGAUUCGCUCCCUCAAAUCCUCCACCACGUAUUCCUCCCUGCCAUGGCUCGAAUUUCCUUCCUCUCCAUUAUCACUGUGCCCGAUCUUGAAUGAUUUCUUCUUGAACGACUCCAUUUUGCUCCGAUUGAUUUAUCGAGAAUCUGCGCGGGAAAAUUGGUGCGAGGAAUGCGGAUUGACUGGGGUUCUCGAAGCAAAAUGAAAGGAGGGUUUUGAUAAUAAUUAUGCGCGCAGCAGUUAUCGUUAGUUGAUGGUUGAAGGUUCGCGAAUUUUGGAUUUUUAUUUUUUAUUUUUGUGGAAACGUAUUUUUUGAGAGGAAAAUGUGAAUUGUAUCGGCCGGAAAAAAUGGGGAGGGAAAGAUCACGGGUGAUCACUGAUGAUUGAAGGGUUUGGAAUUCACGGGAAAGGAAGAGCCAAUGUUACCGUUGAUCAAAAUCUACGGCUGCAAUUUGACGCUGAGAAAUGGAGGAUGUGAUCGAUUUGGAGGUAUUUAUAGGAAUUCAUAAAACCCCUCGCCUCUGCUCAUAAUCCAUUUCAGUAUAGUUUUCAUCUUAUAUUUAUACAUGAAGAUCUGGAUGUUUUGUAUAUAUAAAUACAGAACCGAUCACCUACCCACCGUGG